CUUUACUAUAACUUUGCAGUGGCAUUAGAGGUGCCAUGUGUAGCAUAGGUGGGAGGCUUUGAAGCCUGGACGCUAGUCUGGGUGGAGCCACAACAUGAAAUACCACCCUUGUUACUUCUGAUGUCUAACCAUUGCCCGUGAAACCGGGCGUGGGACCCUGCAUGGUGGGUAGUUUGACUGGGGCGGUCGCCUCCCAAAUCGUAACGGAGGCGUACAAAGGUUGGCUCAAGCUGGUCGGAAAUCAGCUGUUGAGUGCAUUGGCAUAAGCCAGCCUGACUGCGAGACUGACAAGUCGAGCAGGAACGAAAGUUGGUCAAAGUGAUCCGGUGGUUCUGCAUGGAAGGGCCAUCGCUCAACGGAUAAAAGGUA
Molecule: ribosomal RNA, 369 nt
Filed under: uncultured organism
Description: bacterial LSU rRNA
Rfam family: Bacterial large subunit ribosomal RNA
Source: RNAcentral